Molecule: ribosomal RNA, 433 nt
Filed under: uncultured bacterium
Lineage: Bacteria
Description: partial 16S ribosomal RNA
Rfam family: Bacterial small subunit ribosomal RNA
Source: RNAcentral
AACGAACGCUGGCGGCAUGCCUAACACAUGCAAGUCGAACGAGACCUUCGGGUCUAGUGGCGCACGGGUGCGUAACGCGUGGGAACCUGCCCUUAGGUUCGGAAUAACUCCCCGAAAGGGGUGCUAAUACCGGAUAAUGUCUUCGGACCAAAGAUUUAUCGCCUUUGGAUGGGCCCGCGUUGGAUUAGCUAGUUGGUAGGGUAAAAGCCCACCAAGGCGACGAUCCAUAGCUGGUCUGAGAGGAUGAUCAGCCACACUGGGACUGAGACACGGCCCAGACUCCUACGGGAGGCAGCAGUGGGGAAUAUUGGACAAUAGGCGAAAGCCUGAUACAGCAAUGCUGCGUGAGUGAUGAAGGCCUUAGGGUUGUAAAGCUCUUUUAACCGGGAUGAUAAUGACAGUACCGGGAGAAUAAGCUCCGGCUAACUACGUG